RNAcentral lists this long non-coding RNA (331 nucleotides) under Gossypium barbadense (sea-island cotton). RNAcentral's name for it is "long non-coding RNA (GBAR_LNC015614)". The record is from RNAcentral. Lineage: Eukaryota; Viridiplantae; Streptophyta; Magnoliopsida; Malvales; Malvaceae.
AUUAGUUGACGAUGUGUAGGUUUGAAUUGGGUUGUUUUUCUUUUCAAGCUUAAUGCUCUGAGAUCCAUUAAUUUAUGGCCCAAUUUGAGGGACUAAGCUGACCUUCAUGUUUAUUCUAAUGGGAUGAAACUGGUUUGGGAUCAUCAUGGCAUUUAAGAAUCUGGUUGUUCAAGCUUGAAUUUAUUCUUUGUUAGUAUACUACGUAGUAAAUUAUAAGUGAUUUUAUGUUUUGGUUAUUCAUCUUAAAAUUUUAUUAUUUUAGUUUAUAAUGUUAUUACCAUUUGAUAUUUUGAUCAUUUUUCUGUUAAAUUAUUAAUGAAAUGUUGACAUG